GAACGAACGCUGGCGGCAGGCUUAACACAUGCAAGUCGAACGCUCGUGGCAACACGGGAGUGGCAGACGGGUGAGUAACGCGUGGGAACCUACCCUUUUCUACGGAAUAACUGAGGGAAACUUCAGCUAAUACCGUAUACGCCCUACGGGGGAAAGAUUUAUCGGAGAAGGAUGGGCCCGCGUCUGAUUAGCUAGUUGGUGAGGUAACGGCUCACCAAGGCGACGAUCAGUAGCUGGUCUGAGAGGAUGAUCAGCCACAUUGGGACUGAGACACGGCCCAAACUCCUACGGGAGGCAGCAGUGGGGAAUAUUGGACAAUGGGGGCAACCCUGAUCCAGCCAUGCCGCGUGAGUGAUGAAGGCCUUAGGGUUGUAAAGCUCUUUCGUCAGGGAAGAUAAUGACGGUACCUGAAGAAGAAGCCCCGGCUAACUUCGUGCCAGCAGCCGCGGUAAUACGAAGGGGGCUAGCGUUGUUCGGAAUUACUGGGCGUAAAGCGCACGUAGGCGGACAUUUAAGUCAGGGGUGAAAUCCCAGGGCUCAACCCUGGAACUGCCUUUGAUACUGGGUGUCUUGAGUACGAGAGAGGUGAGUGGA
Molecule: ribosomal RNA, 594 nt
Filed under: uncultured bacterium
Lineage: Bacteria
Description: bacterial SSU rRNA
Rfam family: Bacterial small subunit ribosomal RNA
Source: RNAcentral